This 264-nucleotide unclassified non-coding RNA is filed under the name plant metagenome. Its description in RNAcentral is "partial contains small subunit ribosomal RNA, internal transcribed spacer 1, and 5.8S ribosomal RNA". The stretch from base 1 to 53 matches the Rfam family "Eukaryotic small subunit ribosomal RNA", at positions 1778 to 1831 of the family's 1831-position model. The record is from RNAcentral.
GGAAGUAAAAGCGUAACAAGGUUUCCGUAGGUGAACCUGCGGAAGGAUCAUUACCGAGUGCGGGUUCCAACGAGCCCAACCUCCCACCCGUGUUUACCAUGACCGCGUUGCCUCGGCGGGCCCACUGGGGCCUGGCCCCGGUCGCCGGGGGGCUUCUGCCCCCGGGUCCGCGCCCGCCGAAGCGCCCUGGAACCCUGUCUGAAUAGUGAGUCUGAGUGAAUGAUUUAAUCAUUAAAACUUUCAACAACGGAUCUCUUGGUUCCG